This 496-nucleotide ribosomal RNA is filed under the name uncultured bacterium. Its description in RNAcentral is "partial 16S ribosomal RNA". It matches the Rfam family "Bacterial small subunit ribosomal RNA", at positions 29 to 507 of the family's 1533-position model. The record is from RNAcentral.
AUGCACGCUGGCGGCGUGCCUAAUACCUGCAAGUCGAGCGAACAGAUAAGGAGCUUGCUCCUUUGACGUUAGCGGCGGACGGGUGAGUAACACGUGGGUAACCUACCUAUAAGACUGGGAUAACUUCGGGAAACCGGAGCUAAUACCGGAUAACAUUUGGAACCGCAUGGUUCUAAAGUGAAAGAUGGUUUUGCUAUCACUUAUAGAUGGACCCGCGCCGUAUUAGCUAGUUGGUAAGGUAACGGCUUACCAAGGCAACGAUACGUAGCCGACCUGAGAGGGUGAUCGGCCACACUGGAACUGAGACACGGUCCAGACUCCUACGGGAGGCAGCAGUAGGGAAUCUUCCGCAAUGGGCGAAAGCCUGACGGAGCAACGCCGCGUGAGUGAUGAAGGGUUUCGGCUCGUAAAACUCUGUUAUUAGGGAAGAACAAAUGUGUAAGUAACUGUGCACGUCUUGACGGUACCUAAUCAGAAAGCCACGGCUAACUACGUG